This is an RNA transcript of Folsomia candida, 2025 nucleotides long. It is a transcript of the gene named ion transport peptide, with no coding region annotated. The transcript is spliced from 6 exons. The record is from RefSeq and is a predicted model, not a curated record. Lineage: Eukaryota; Metazoa; Arthropoda; Collembola; Entomobryomorpha; Isotomidae.
GUCAUUAAGUUUUUUGGAGUAAGUGAAUUUUCGUCUGGGUGUGCUUUGCUUCAUAAAUUCCUUACUUUGUAACCUUCGUGUUUGAAAAUUAGAUACCUUCCUUCCCCAUAAUUCGUCAAGUUUAAGAUCUUCUUAAGUCCUUUUUCAAAUUUAUAGACAUCUUCCUUCCCGGUCCAGCUAAUUCGAUAAUCUUCUCAACUCCUUCAAAUUUAAAGAUGCAUUCAUCCUCCAACGAAUCAGUCGUCGCCACGAAGGUGAAUCAUGGGAGGAGAUUUACUUCUCGGGCGCUGACAUCCCCCGCUUUCCUGGUCACAUUGGGGACGACGCUGCUGAUCGCGACGGUGGUGGUGGGGCAGGCGGACAGCUUCGUCAUGGGGAGCCGACCUCUCAGCAAACGGUCAUUUUUCGACAUCCAGUGCAAAGGAGUUUAUGACAAGGGCAUCUUUGCCAAGCUGGACAGAAUUUGCGACGAUUGUUACAACUUGUACAGAGAACCACAACUCCACUCGCUAUGCAGCCAGAAUUGUUUUUCGUCCUCGUACUUCAUGAAUUGUUUGGAUGCGCUGACGCUGAACGAUGAGCAGAAGACGUAUGAAGAGUACAUCGAACGAAUACACGCACCCACGCCCGUCGAACGAAAGAAAUGAACCAUUUCUCACGACACGACCCAAACCAUCGUCAUCAUCAUCAUUCUGAUAGUCACAUUCCAGCUACCAAAGACUUUGAUUUCUAUUUUUUUUAAGAGAGAACAAGCUGCACCUGAAUCAGCAAUCGUUUUUUAGGAGCAGGUGCAUACACAAAAACUUUAAAAAAUUCCAGGGCAAAUAUUUACAUAUUUAAUUUAGUUAAACUUAGGUUAGGUUUAGUUGAGAAUAGAAAAUGAAAUAGUUUUUCUCGUGAAUUUUUUAAUGGACAGAGAGAUUUAUUGGCAAAUAUUUACAUAAUUUGGUUAAAUGUGUAGCUUUAAAUUGAAAAUUGGACAGUUUUUUGUCGGAUUUUUUAAUUUUUACUUUUAUGAAAAUGAAUAAGGAGAAAGUCAGUCAGGGAUUUUUUAGUUUUUUGAAAGCAGAUUUUUAUAUUUUUGAGAUUUUUAGCCUAGAAAAUCCUAUGUAGAGUCAAAAGUCAACAAAACGCAGCUCAACUAAGCUACAAAAUCAAUAUACACACAAAAUUACCAUCAUCUCAUUGACACGACACCAUCAAAUUUUUGGACAUAUUUUAAACACCGUCGAACUGCUUUGGGUCUCCGUACUUCAAAGGGUGUCUCGACGCUCUUUUGCUGAACGAGGAGGAUGGCAAGUUCGACGAGAUGAUUGAAAUCCUAGGGAAAAAGAAGAAGUAAAAAGUGACAUCCGGUUUUCUUCUACUCGACUUUCUCCCCCCAAAAAAGAAAACAGACCAAAGUGUGCCGUUUGACUGAUUUUAAUUUUAUCUCUGUCUCUCAAUCUUUCCUACGAAUUUUAUGUGAUUAAUUAGAAAUUUACAUAUUUAGUAAUUUAAUCACCUUUACUUAAGUUAAUUAGUAAUUUAAUUACUAGAAAAGUCAGCUAGUCAGUAUUAUUAUCUAUGCAUUUUUAGUUAUUUUUUGUAUUUUGAAGUCUUGUUAAUUUAUUUCCGGUAGGAAUUUAAUCGUCACCACGUGGUUUUUAUGGAUCGUUGCCACGUGUUUUUAUGUUCCUAGUGAACCGUGUACCUCUCUGACUGACCGGCAAUUUACAUAUUUACAUCACUCUCACCUUAAAAAUAUGCUAAUUAUUAUUGUUAUUAUUAUUAAAAAAUUAUUACAAUCCCCGAUGUUUUUUUAAUGUGCCAAGUAAACCAAAGAAUGACGGUUGUAACGUAAUGAAGCGUAGUUAGUUGUGUAUGUAAAUAUGAAUUUGUGUAAUUUGAAAAGACGGUGGCCAACUUUAUUGUUUGUUUGUUAAAUGUAUGUAAUUUCUGGUUGAGAAGAAUGAAAAAGGAGAUCAGACCAGAAAGCAGACACGUGGAAAAUAAAUGUUUUGAUGUGAGCAAUUAGAAAAAAAA